ACAGACGAUAAACACAUCAGGUCAGGUGACCGCUACAGAGAGCCUUCCACUGUCCUCGAAUAGCAGCAAGGCUGAGCCACGGCAGAAAGACCAGGAGGCCAGCAGCGCUCCUGUGGUUCUGGUUUGCGUUCUGCUCGCAUUGGUUACAGUGGGCAUUGUCGCAUUUAUUGG
Long non-coding RNA from Scomber japonicus (chub mackerel), 171 nucleotides. RefSeq lists it as uncharacterized. The transcript is spliced from 3 exons. The record is from RefSeq and is a predicted model, not a curated record. NCBI's taxonomy places the organism in Eukaryota, Metazoa, Chordata, Actinopteri, Scombriformes, Scombridae.